GUAAAUGCUAGAAACACAUGUUAGUACUUGGUUAGCAAUGGGCAUUGCAGAUACACACACACACACACACACACACACACACACACACACACACACACACACACACACACGCAGGGGGGUUGUAUUUGACUCUGGCUAUCCUGUAACUCGAGAAUUGCCUGUGCCUCUAGAGUGCUAGGAUUAAAGGUGUGCACCACCAGCACUAACCAGCUAUUUUGGGGGAGGGUAUAGAUUUAAUGAUAGUGGUAUGACUAGGCAAUUGGGGUGGUUCCAAAUUUCAGUUUAAGGAUACAACAAAAUGGAAUCUUUCUGUGAGUGGAGGAGGCAGUUGGUUUUGGGUUAUUGUUUUUGGUUUGGUUUGUUUUUUUUUCUCAAGACAGGGUUUCUCUGAAUAGCCCUGGCUGUCCUGGAACUCACUUUGUAGACCAGGCUGGCCUCGAACUCAGAAAUCCACCUGCCUCUGCCUCCCAAGUGUUCCACCACUGCCCAGUUCAGGAGGCAGUUUUUAUAUGUAGUUCUGGAGCGUGAGCAUGCUAGGUAAGCAAGCAUGAGCCCUUGAGCCCUCUUCCAGCCCUAGAAAAUAAUUAUAUUCAAUUUCAAUGAUUGAUAUUCCCCUUAUAUAUACAUAAUUUAUAAAAAUAAAGCCAGAUAUGAUGGCAUAUACUCUUUAAUCCUAGCACUCAGGCAGAGGAUUUCCAGGACAAUCAGGUAUUAUGCAAAGAAACCCUAUCUCAAAAAAUCAAAAAUU
This 748-nucleotide long non-coding RNA is filed under the name Mus musculus (house mouse). RNAcentral's name for it is "long non-coding RNA chr12:111543661-111544409". The record is from RNAcentral. Lineage: Eukaryota; Metazoa; Chordata; Mammalia; Rodentia; Muridae.